This 344-nucleotide long non-coding RNA is filed under the name Crocodylus porosus (Australian saltwater crocodile). Its description in RNAcentral is "lncRNA (ENSCPRG00005016705.1)". Lineage: Eukaryota; Metazoa; Chordata; Crocodylia; Crocodylidae. The record is from RNAcentral.
CCUGGGGUCGACGACUUGCAGCAACAACCGACGCCCAGUGUGCACCGGUGGUUUCAUCAGGGACCUCGGCAGAGACGUGGUUUGAUCGACCCCAGAGGGCACAACGGUGCAACGCGCUCAAAUAGUGGAGAAGCGAUUGUGGGUGACGGUGUGGAACCGGUCCCUCGGACAAGGUACACUAAAGACUUGCAGCCUCUUCCGCUGGUGGGAGCCAGCCAGUGGAAAAAUACUGCUGGAAGUGACCAGGGUAUAAAUAUACACUGUUGCAGGGCUAGGGGCGCGGGAUUUGAGACAAUACAGUCUCCCUGCGCCUUUUACUUGAGCUCAAAUAAACUCUGUCUAUU